ACGCCAGCGGGAGGCCUAACACAUGCAAGUCGAGGGGUAACGGAAGUAGCUUGCUACUAGACGACGACCGGCGCACGGGUGAGUAACGCGUAUGUAAUCUGCCUUGUACAGAGGGAUAGCCCAGAGAAAUUUGGAUUAAUACCUCAUAGUAUUACCGAAUCGCAUGAUUUGGUAAUUAAAGCUCCGGCGGUACAAGAUGAACAUGCGUGACAUUAGCUAGUUGGUAAGGUAACGGCUUACCAAGGCUACGAUGUCUAGGGGUUCUGAGAGGAUGAUCCCCCACACUGGUACUGAGACACGGACCAGACUCCUACGGGAGGCAGCAGUGAGGAAUAUUGGUCAAUGGACGCAAGUCUGAACCAGCCAUCCCGCGUGAAGGAUGACUGCCCUAUGGGUUGUAAACUUCUUUUAUAUGCAAAUAAACCUACUUUCGUGAAAGUAGCUGAAGGUAGCAUAUGAAUAAACACCGGCUAACUCCGUGCCAGCAGCCGCGGUAAUACGGAGGGUGUAAGCGUUAUCCGGAUUUAUUGGGUUUUAAGGGUACGUAGGCGGUA
RNAcentral lists this ribosomal RNA (554 nucleotides) under uncultured bacterium. Its description in RNAcentral is "bacterial SSU rRNA". It matches the Rfam family "Bacterial small subunit ribosomal RNA", at positions 33 to 580 of the family's 1533-position model. The record is from RNAcentral.